GUCUUUGGGCCAUAGCUCACUGGUAGAGCAUUUGCUUUGCAUGCAGAAGGUCACAGUUUCAGUCCCCUGCAUUUUCUGGUAGGACU
Molecule: non-coding RNA, 86 nt
Organism: Podarcis lilfordi (Lilford's wall lizard)
Lineage: Eukaryota; Metazoa; Chordata; Lepidosauria; Squamata; Lacertidae
Source: the annotation of a GenBank genome assembly